AUCGCUUCUCGGCCUUUUGGCUCAGAUCAAGCGUAAAUUCUGUUCUUAUCAGUUUAAUAUUUGAUAGUCCUCUACACGAGGACCAAAUAUUAAAUUGAUUUUUGGAACAAGUAGCUGGAUCUGGGGCUUGCCUCAUCCACUCCAUGCAUUGUCCUGGUAUUGCAGUAUCUCCAGGUACAGUGCACCUCCA
Xiphophorus couchianus (Monterrey platyfish) is the source of this 190-nucleotide small nuclear RNA. Its record names the gene U2. It matches the Rfam family "U2 spliceosomal RNA". From Rfam's summary of the family: U2 is a small nuclear RNA (snRNA) component of the spliceosome (involved in pre-mRNA splicing). Complementary binding between U2 snRNA (in an area lying towards the 5' end but 3' to hairpin I) and the branchpoint sequence (BPS) of the intron results the bulging out of an unpaired adenosine, on the BPS, which initiates a nucleophilic attack at the intronic 5' splice site, thus starting the first of two transesterification reactions that mediate splicing. The record is from Ensembl. Lineage: Eukaryota; Metazoa; Chordata; Actinopteri; Cyprinodontiformes; Poeciliidae.